UUCGUAGGCGGUGGGGCAAGUUGGGAGUGAAAUCUCUAGGCUCAACCUAGAGGCUGCUUCCAAAACUGCUCUGCUUGAGUGUGAGAGAGGCGCGUGGAAUUGCAGGUGUAGCGGUGAAAUGCGUAGAUAUCUGCAGGAACACCCGUGGCGAAAGCGGCGCGCUGGAUCACUACUGACGCUGAGGAACGAAAGCUAGGGGAGCAAACA
RNAcentral lists this ribosomal RNA (207 nucleotides) under uncultured bacterium. RNAcentral describes it as "partial 16S ribosomal RNA". It matches the Rfam family "Bacterial small subunit ribosomal RNA", at positions 568 to 774 of the family's 1533-position model. The record is from RNAcentral.